AGCCCUGUGGUGUAAUGUCUCAUGCUGAAUUGCAAAUUCAGAGAAGCAGCUUCAAUCCUGCCGGGGCUU
Molecule: transfer RNA, 69 nt
Filed under: Megaerops niphanae (Ratanaworabhan's fruit bat)
Lineage: Eukaryota; Metazoa; Chordata; Mammalia; Chiroptera; Pteropodidae
Description: tRNA-Cys
Rfam family: tRNA
About the family: Transfer RNA (tRNA) molecules are approximately 80 nucleotides in length. Their secondary structure includes four short double-helical elements and three loops (D, anti-codon, and T loops).
Source: RNAcentral